Molecule: ribosomal RNA, 400 nt
Filed under: phytoplankton environmental sample
Lineage: Eukaryota
Description: partial small subunit ribosomal RNA
Rfam family: Eukaryotic small subunit ribosomal RNA
Source: RNAcentral
AGCUCCAAUAGCGUAUAUUAAAGUUGUUGCAGUUAAAAAGCUCGUAGUUGGAUUUCUGGUAGGAGCGACCAUACCGGGCUUGAUUGUCCGUGUAAUGCGUUGUCUCCAGCCAUCCUCGUGGAGAAUGUUUCUGGCAUUAAUUUGUUGGAUUCGGGACCCGCGUCAUUUACUGUGAAAAAAUUAGAGUGUUUAAAGCAGGCAAUUGGCUUGAAUACAUUAGCAUGGAAUAAUAAGAUAGGACUUUGGUGCUAUUUUGUUGGUUUGCACACCAAGGUAAUGAUUAACAGAAUCAGUCGGGGAUAUUCGUAUGCAAAUGUCAGAGGUGAAAUUCUUGGAUUUUUUACAGACGAACUACUGCGAAAGCAUUUAUCAAGGAUGUUUUCAUUAAUCAAGAACGAAA